Molecule: long non-coding RNA, 468 nt
Organism: Magnolia sinica
Lineage: Eukaryota; Viridiplantae; Streptophyta; Magnoliopsida; Magnoliales; Magnoliaceae
Exons: 2
Source: RefSeq, a predicted model, not a curated record
AUGCAGCGUAAAAGAUGCAUUUAGAUCAAUGGAUUAUUUCUAGCUUGGUGAACCUGUGAUUAGCUCUGUUUUGAGCUUGUAGAUUAUCUUUGCAUUAAGUCGAUGAAAUUCAAUCAGUCCUUAAAAGAUUUGAAUUUUAUUUUGUAUUGUGAUUUGAAUAAAAGAUAUGAUGUAAUUGAGAAAACCCAAAAGCCACAACUCAGUUUUUCUUUUUUCUUUUUGCAGUGGCUAUAAGUACAUGCCUUAUCAACUUUUGGCUUGCCACGUCACGAUGGAGCAGAAGAAGAUGGACGGCCAGUGUUGUCUUAGGUCUGCCAAGCACGACGGCACCGGUGAUGAUGGACGCGACCAUGACUUUGUAUUAUUUGUGGAACCUAAUGUUGUGUAACAGUUUAAUUGAGUUAAACUUUAAAUAGACUUUUGUUAACUAUUUUGUUGGUAUUGUGGCUUUCAUGAUUGAUUGUUUCA